Molecule: long non-coding RNA, 434 nt
Organism: Ictalurus punctatus (channel catfish)
Lineage: Eukaryota; Metazoa; Chordata; Actinopteri; Siluriformes; Ictaluridae
Source: Ensembl
GUCAGAGACAACUCAUCAACACCUCCUGACCAAUCAGAAUCCAGAGCUGGCUUCGCUCUCGACGUCCGUCCCCCCCCCCUUCCUGUGUGUGUGAGACUGCUUGAAGUGUGUGUGUCAUACCAAAAUGAGUGAGGAGUGGCUCCAUAAACGUUCACACCGAGUAUUUGAGUGUCCUCAGUUCUGAGCCUCUUCUUUCCUCCGACUCGUCACUGGCGCAUUAAAAGUUCAAAUGGCUGUCUGAAAAAAAAAAAUCACAUUAAAAGCCACCAGAAAGGGUACAACGAUGGGGCCGGUUCACGGAUUACUUUAUAUCCUUGUAAUCUCAUCCUACUUCAUCGUCGGUCGUGGCCAAAAAAUUGUGUGCACACAGGAAGCCAAGGCAGAUUAGUGUUUUUAGUGGAUGGCUCGGCCAGCAUCGGUCUAAAGAACUUCCA